GGCAAGGUCGCGUAAAGAUGAAAAGUUGGCUAGCGAUUUUAAAAACGUCUACACAUUGCUUGCUUGUUGUUUACUUCCAUUUACAUGUCUCGAGGAUGUCAAUUUGAACGAGGGACUAUCAAACUAGCUUCCUUUCGCUACCCCUAGUGAUCUUCGCAUUAUGGCGCGCACGUAUCCUUCUCAGCCUGUGUGGGCGAUGGAAUAAACUGAUGCUCAGUGAUGGAAUAGAGUGUCCAGGAACUUUGAGUUCAACAUCAUAUCGGGAUAAUGGGGAAGUAACGACUACAUCUUGCACAAGCUCUGGGUGAUGGAGUCAACUGAAAACCAGGAAGCUUCUUUUGUUCCAGAGGAAAAGCAUGAAUAAAACCAGAUCUGUUUAAAGGCAUACUACGCAGGGUUUUUUUUAAAGCCUGCCGUCCUAUGGUUACAAUAAAAAUUCUUCUCUUCCAUCUUCAUCCUGAGUACCCAACUUCAGCCAUCUACUUUCCCCAUCUAGCUACCCAGAUAGCUAGAAGUAACGUUAUUUACUGGUCCAACAGAAAACAGGAUAACUCUGUGUCACUUUUCAUCCCCGUUGUGAACUUCAGCUGUCACCAUGGAGCAAUUUCAAUGUUGACUCUGGUUUUUGAACGUGUCCUGUCGGCUUGCCGUUUCACUUUGCUGUAGGUUACUUGUGUUUCUUAAAGUCAGCCAUUGCAUUGCUAGCUACAAAUGUUCUGCUGAAACCUGAUUCCACCCCACAGGCUCUGUAUCCACACCCUCCCCUCACCACACAGAAAAGAAAGUCACAUAAAGAUCCCAAACACAUUUUACAUGAAAUAUAGGCAGAGGAGCAUGGAUUUGGCAAACAGAGCUGUCAAUGAACUGCAACUAAUUCAAAACUGUGCUUGAUCCUUGACCCAUACAAAACCACUUAACCACAUCAGUGCAGUUCUUCACAAGCUCCACUGUCUCCCAGUUAAAUUCUGAAUUCAAUUCAAAAUCCCCCUCUUACAUACAAAGCCUUCCACAACCUAGCUCCCACCUAUCUCUUUGACUUUCUCCUGGCCUGCUUACCACCCCCUCCUCACGCCUGACCUCAUUUGGUAAUCAAGCAUUUAGCUGUGUUGCAACAAAUUUUGGAACUUCCUCUUCACAUUCUCUCCUCUGACUCAUUCUUCAUUCAAAAAACAGCUGACUCUUCAUUUAAAAAAAUAGACUGAAGGGGAACAAAUGAAGGUGAAAGUAUUUAUUUGUUUGUAGUAUAACUCAUUAAGGAAGCUAAUUGUGCACAUUCUUUUAUCUCUUCCAUGUGAUAUACAUUGAGCUCUAUAAUGUUUGGGACAAAGUCAUAUUUUUUCUUGAUUUGGCUCUAUGCUACAAAUUUUGGCUCUAUGCU
This is a long non-coding RNA of Anguilla rostrata (American eel), 1378 nucleotides long. RefSeq lists it as uncharacterized. Lineage: Eukaryota; Metazoa; Chordata; Actinopteri; Anguilliformes; Anguillidae. The transcript is spliced from 3 exons. The record is from RefSeq and is a predicted model, not a curated record.